UUGUCGUUGGUGAAAGGCAAGUGUGCCACC
This 30-nucleotide small RNA is filed under the name Bombyx mori (domestic silkworm). RNAcentral's name for it is "ovarian small RNA-9771". The record is from RNAcentral. Lineage: Eukaryota; Metazoa; Arthropoda; Insecta; Lepidoptera; Bombycidae.